GCAGGGUUGUCAAAAGAAAUUCUAGUAUAAAGUGCAGUGCAAGUGCAUGGUAGACACUCUUCUGUAAUAACUGAUUUUUCUAAUAGAUUGGAUUCGAGUAGGCAUUCGUAAAGUCCUUCAAAACAUUCUUGAGAUAUAUAUUCUUCUGCAUGUGUUAACAUAUUUUAACACUGAUCUAUUAAAUAUUGAUUAUUAUGUUGGUAGUCAUAUAUACAUCUAUGGUAUUUUGGUUCCAUAUGAUUUUUUUUUUUGGAUACACUGUAUCAUGUGUAUAUCAGUUUUUUUUUUAAUAUUUUUUUCUUUUAUGCUAGAAUUGUACAUGAAAGUUGCACCACCCUGACACAGGUUUAUUUUUCAAUGUAUGUAGUGUGUUUUGUUGCUUGCUGUUUAUCAUAUUUGUUUGUAUGUAGCUUUUGUAUAUAAAUCAAACUAUCAUCACUGUAGGGCUUCUCGUCUGUUUUUUUUUUACAUUGACGGUGUUGCGUGCAAGGCAGAACCCUUUAUAUAGGGUGCUCAUUAUGAAGUAUUAGUUUUGAUCAUUGUUGAAGGGUGUGGAGUAACCUAUUAUAUAGCUAACAAGCACAUCACUUGGUCUACAUGGUCUAUGGUUGAUGGUUGUCUCAUCAAAAUUCAUACCACAUCUCCUAGUUCAAUUCAAAUUAAUGAAAACCAUGAAAAUGUGCUCAUUGUUAGAUAAAGCCGGCCAAUCAAACAUGUACACCUAACAUUCAUGUCAUAUGCCAAAAAAA
This 749-nucleotide long non-coding RNA is filed under the name Mytilus galloprovincialis (Mediterranean mussel). Lineage: Eukaryota; Metazoa; Mollusca; Bivalvia; Mytilida; Mytilidae. The record is from RNAcentral.